RNAcentral lists this long non-coding RNA (302 nucleotides) under Manihot esculenta (cassava). RNAcentral's name for it is "long non-coding RNA (MESC_LNC011552)". Lineage: Eukaryota; Viridiplantae; Streptophyta; Magnoliopsida; Malpighiales; Euphorbiaceae. The record is from RNAcentral.
UAAUUCUCAACUUGUGACUACCAAUGUUCUCUCAUGCUCCCAUAUCCUCUCUGCUAAACCCAUGUCAGUUUAUUUCGGUGAAGCUGAAUUCGUCCAAUUACUUCCACUUCUUAAUGAUUAUAAUACGUAUGAUCAUAUCUCUAAUUUUCUACUCCUCCACUGAAGAUGAAUGCUGAUGACACAACAACAAAUCCUGCCUAUCAAGUUUGGUAUCGUCAAGACCACUUUCUCAAACCAUUCUUUCCUAGAUCAUUGAUCUUCAAACUGUAAAAGCACCUUAGGACAAACUUACUACAUUUUUG